CAGCAGCCACGGGAAUACGGAGGGUGCAAGCGUUAAUCGGAAUUACUGGGCGUAAAGCGCACGCAGGCGGUCUGUCAAGUCGGAUGUGAAAUCCCCGGGCUCAACCUGGGAACUGCAUUCGAAACUGGCAGGCUAGAGUCUUGUAGAGGGGGGUAGAAUUCCAGGUGUAGCGGUGAAAUGCGUAGAGAUCUGGAGGAAUACCGGUGGCGAAGGCGGCCCCCUGGACAAAGACUGACGCUCAGGUGCGAAAGCGUGGGGAGCAAACAGGAUUGGAUACCCGCGUAGUCCCUGUCUCUUAUAC
This 301-nucleotide ribosomal RNA is filed under the name uncultured bacterium. RNAcentral describes it as "partial 16S ribosomal RNA". It matches the Rfam family "Bacterial small subunit ribosomal RNA", at positions 509 to 807 of the family's 1533-position model. The record is from RNAcentral.